GACCGGCGCACGGGUGGAGUAACGCGUAUCCAACCUGCCCAUCACUUGGGGAUAACCUUGCGAAAGUAAGACUAAUACCCAAUGAUAUCUCUAGAAGACAUCUGAAAGAGAUUAAAGAUUUAUCGGUGAUGGAUGGGGAUGCGUCUGAUCAGCUUGUUGGCGGGGUAACGGCCCACCAAGGCGACGAUCAGUAGGGGUUCUGAGAGGAAGGUCCCCCACAUUGGAACUGAGACACGGUCCAAACUCCUACGGGAGGCAGCAGUGAGGAAUAUUGGUCAAUGGACGAGAGUCUGAACCAGCCAAGUAGCGUGCAGGAUGACGGCCCUAUGGGUUGUAAACUGCUUUUAUAAGGGAAUAAAGUGAGAGUCGUGACUAUUUUUGCAUGUACCUUAUGAAUAAGGACCGGCUAAUUCCGUGCCAGCAGCCGCGGUAAUACGGAAGAUCCGGGCGUUAUCCGGAUUUAUUGGGUUUAAAGGGAGCGUAGGCCGGAGAUUAAGCGUGUUGUGAAAUGUAGACGCUCAACGUCUGCACUGCAGCGCGAACUGGUUUCCUUGAGUACGCACAAAGUGGGCGGAAUUCGUGGUGUAGCGGUGAAAUGCUUAGAUAUCACGAAGAACUCCGAUUGCGAAGGCAGCUCACUGGAGCGCAACUGACGCUGAAGCUCGAAAGUGCGGGUAUCGGAACAGGAUUAGAUACCCUGGUAGUCCGCACGGUAAACGAUGGAUGCCCGCUG
This 733-nucleotide ribosomal RNA is filed under the name uncultured bacterium. RNAcentral's name for it is "bacterial SSU rRNA". It matches the Rfam family "Bacterial small subunit ribosomal RNA", at positions 93 to 822 of the family's 1533-position model. The record is from RNAcentral.